CUUGCCUUGUCUGAUUAGUGGCGAACGGGUGAGUAACACGUGAGUAACCUGCCCCCCUCUUCGGGAUAACCUCGGGAAAUCGGGGCUAAUACCGGAUAUGACUUCGCACCGCAUGGUGUGUUGUGGAAAGUUUUUCGGUGGGGGAUGGACUCGCGGCCUAUCAGUUUGUUGGUGAGGUAAUGGCUCACCAAGGCGAUGACGGGUAGCCGGCCUGAGAGGGCGACCGGCCACACUGGGACUGAGACACGGCCCAGACUCCUACGGGAGGCAGCAGUGGGGAAUAUUGCACAAUGGGCGAAAGCCUGAUGCAGCGACGCCGCGUGGGGGAUGACGGCCUUCGGGUUGUAAACCUCUUUCAGCAGGGAAGAAGCGAGAGUGACGGUACCUGCAGAAGAAGCGCCGGCUAACUACGUGCCAGCAGCCGCGGUAAUACGUAGGGCGCAAGCGUUGUCCGGAAUUAUUGGGCGUAAAGAGCUUGUAGGUGGCUUGUCGCGUCUGCCGUGAAAACCCGAGGCUCAACCUCGGGCGUGCGGUGGGUACGGGCAGGCUAGAGUGUGGUAGGGGAGACUGGAACUCCUGGUGUAGCGGUGAUAUGCGCAGAUAUCAGGAAGAACACCGAUGGCGAAGGCAGGUCUCUGGGCCAUUACUGACACUGAGAAGCGAAAGCAUGGGGAGCGAACAGGAUUAGAUACCUGGUAGUCAAGGCCGUAAAGUUGGGGCACUAGGGGUUGGG
RNAcentral lists this ribosomal RNA (733 nucleotides) under Brachybacterium muris. RNAcentral describes it as "bacterial SSU rRNA". It matches the Rfam family "Bacterial small subunit ribosomal RNA", at positions 79 to 827 of the family's 1533-position model. The record is from RNAcentral. Lineage: Bacteria; Bacillati; Actinomycetota; Actinomycetes; Micrococcales; Dermabacteraceae.